UCAAAGUUCAAACCUUCUAUAAAGCCAACGGCUACAACGGUGUAUUCCUUCUCUUUCUCUCUAUCUCUACUCUUUAUUCCUCUAGUCGUCGGAGACAAAUUUAUCGUCACCGUUGAUAAAAUAUUGGCGAAAAUAUCGGUUUCCAUUAAAACCGAUGACCCCAAUCUAGGCGAACGGGCAAAAGGUGGACUCCAGCAAUUAAUCGCCAUUUUUCUAUUUCUUUUUCUUCUUUUAAGGCUCCUAAAAGGCCUAUUCACUUUCGGCUCUUUCCAAUCGGUAAGAAUCCACUCUCUCGUCCCUGCAAUUCUCGCACGUCAAUUUUUUUUUUCUCGAUUUUGCAUUAUAGACCCAAAACUUUCAAAGUGUUCUCUACAAUGACUCAUUCUGAUAAACCCAGAAGCUGAAAAGAAAUUCGGUUUUCUUUACGAGAUUCAGCUUCUGGGUUUAUUUUGUUUUUGGUCAAAUGGCUGAUGUUCCUAUUUCCUUCUGACUGGCUUCUAGAUUCAAAAUUUGAAGCUCAAAGGGAAAUCUGUUUCCUUUUCAAGUUUCAGCUUCCGGGUUUUAGUUCGCUCUUGUUCAAUUUGUUGAGAAUCCCGUUUCCUUCUUGCUGGAUUUUGGAUUCAAAUUUUGAGGCUGAAAGGGUGUUCCCUUUUUCAAGUUUCAUCUUCUGGGUUUACUUUGUUCUUGUUUAAAUAGCUGGAAAUCACAUUCCUUCUACCUUGAUUUUAGAGUCAAAUUCUGAAUAGAUAGCGAGAGAGGGGAGAAAAUAGAGAUAAUGUCUGCUGUUGACGUUGCUUUGGGCCCGAUUCAUAAAGAAUCGCCAUAUUUCCGCUGUUAUAGCCACAAUAGCCAACAGGCACCUGUGCCUGAAGACUCAUCAAUUCUAAUAUAUCUUAGUGUCGCUGGUUCCCUCAUUCCUAUGCGGGUUUUAGAGUCCGAUUCUAUAGAAUCAGUGAAGCUAAGGAUCCAGACGAGUAAAGGGUUUGCAGCAAAAAAACAGAAGCUUGUCUUUGGAGGCAGAGAGUUGGCCAGAAACAAUUCGCUUGUCAAGGACUACGGUGUCAUUAGUGGCAAAGUUUUGCAUUUGGUUCUUAAGCUUUCUGAUCUCUUGCUUAUCACUGUACGUACCACUUGUGGACGGGAAGUUGAGUUCCAUGCAGAUAGAUAUAGGAAUGUUGGGUAUUUAAAGCAACGAAUAUUUAAAGAAGGGAGAGUUUUUAUUGAUGUUGAGGAACAAGAGAUCUUUUACAAUGGUGAAAAGCUUGACAACCACAGGCUUAUUGGCGAUAUAUGCAUCAACAAUGAUGCUGCCAUUCAUUUGUUGGUCCAAAAAUCUGCACAGGUGAGGGCUACGCCCUUGGAGAAAGAUUUUGAGAUCUCCAUUGUGGCAGUGAAUCCCAAUGAGAGAAGAGAGAGUGAAGUAGAAGGAGGACAGAAUCAACCUGAGGAGGUUCAGGUUCUGGCUAGGGAGCAACCUGGUAGAGAUUUCUGGUUGGAACCGGUUAUUGUUAAUCCUAAGAUCAGAUUGAAUUCAGUUUUUUGGGAUAUGGUUAACUCUACAUUUGAUGGGUUGGAGAAAGGUAAGCCACCCAUCCGAUCAUCUGAGGGUACUGGAGGAACUUAUUUUAUGCAAGAUCCAUUAGGCCAGAAGUUUGUUUCUGUUUUUAAGCCCAUCGAUGAGGAGCCAAUGGCUGUGAAUAAUCCCCAGGGUCUACCUGUCUCAUCGAAUGGUGAAGGGCUGAAAAGGGGGACAAAGGUAGGAGAAGGAGCAGUGAGGGAAGUAGCAGCAUACUUAUUGGAUCAUCCAAGAAGUGGUCCAAGGGCAUUAACUGGUGAGGUUAUGGGCUUUGCUGGUGUACCUCCUACUAUAAUUGUUCAAUGCUUGCAUGAAGGAUUCAACUAUCCGGAAGGAUAUGAAUAUGCAAUGAAAAAUGUAAAGACCGGAUCUUUACAGAUGUUUAUGAAGAAUGAAGGGAGUUGCGAUGAAAUGGGACCUGGGGCUUUCCCAGUGGAAGAGGUGCACAAGAUCAGUGUGUUAGAUAUGAGAAUGGCCAACACAGAUAGGCAUGCAGGAAAUAUAUUGGUUGGCAAAGGGGAGGAUGGUCAGAUAAAGCUCAUUCCAAUUGAUCAUGGUUAUUGCUUGCCCGAGAAAUUUGAAGAUUGCACAUUUGAUUGGCUCUACUGGCCUCAAGCCCACCAGCCUUACUCGCCUGAGGUAAUUGAUUACAUAGAUUCACUGGAUGCAGAACAAGAUAUCGCACUUCUGAAAUGUUAUGGGUGGGACAUUCCUCUUGAGUCUGCUCGUACACUUAGAAUCUCCACCAUGCUUCUGAAGAGAGGGGUAAAGAGAGGUCUCACUCCCUUUGCCAUUGGAAGUAUCAUGUGCAGAGAAACCCUGAAUAAGGAAUCAGUGAUCGAGGAGAUUGUUCGUGAAGCAGAGGAUUCCCUGCUCCCUGGCAUGAGUGAAGCUGUGUUUCUUGAAACUGUCUCCCAGAUCAUGGACUCCCGGCUUGACAAACUCACAGGGUAAUUAAUUGGCUCAGGUCAUGGAUUCCUUGACGAGCUCAAAAAAAUAAAUUUCAUAUGGUAUAAUUGUAGGUAAAUAUUUUUAUGUAAAUUGAAUGAUCAGUCCAUUUUUAGAUGGACUGUAUGAUGUAUAUGGUUGGCUUUUAUUGUCAUGCAUGAGCUUGAAAAACCCUCUUUCAAUUUUCAUGCUGCUGCUAUCGCUUCAGUCAACCAAUAGUUGAGGUUUGUAUUGGGAUGAAGAACAGAAGUUCAAAAACAAUGAAUAAUAUAUGUUAUGCUUAGAUUUGUAUAUAGAUUGCAGGAAUGUCUGGGUCUUGUGUAGUAUAUGAUAUCCCAAAUUUAGUCUUGGGGGCCUAUAAAUGAUGAGCCAUAGCCUGGGGAAUUGGGGUGGCAUACUGGCAUUUGUGGUCACUUUAAACCCAAUGCCACUUAUUGUAUUAUCUGAUGCAUUUUUUAUGUAAAAAAAUAGAAGGAAAAAAAAAUGUAAAAAAUAUAAGGAAAAAGUUGCUGUGUGAAAUAGACUGCAAUUUGGAGGUGAGCAAAAAUGUGCACAGCUUGUUGGUGUUUAUCCACUGCCAUUCUACCUUGCCUUGGUUAGCAUUCAGGUUCACAGGUCAAAAUCACUUGGCAAUUUAGGACAGCCUGAAAGAUGAAAGAGGCAAAUUUUGUCCACAGGCCUAGCGUUUACAAAGGAAUCCAAUCAGGGAGUGCUACAGCCCAUCUCACUAUAUUAGCAAUGGCUUAAGUAUGAGCGAUGGCUUAAGUUCAAACUUCAUGUAUCAACCUAAGGUCCAUUUCACAUCAAGAGAACACAAUAAUGGAAAAUAAUGCGGUCAGUACAAAAGAAAAAGAGGGAGAGAGGAAAAUAAU
Molecule: unclassified non-coding RNA, 3396 nt
Filed under: Hevea brasiliensis (rubber tree)
Lineage: Eukaryota; Viridiplantae; Streptophyta; Magnoliopsida; Malpighiales; Euphorbiaceae
Source: RNAcentral